GACGCAUUCUCAGUCGAUGAGAAACCUUCGUUAGAGGGAGACGUACUGCCGGUCAGCUCGUUAAUUUUCUACUUACAAGACUGAGUGCUCCAGUAUCUGUGUUGCAGCUGUGUGUAUGUGUGUAUCAAGAUUCUGAGAGGACGUGUCGUGAAGGGUGUCUGUGCCAGCCGCAUUUGUCACUCUCGAGAUCGCGUUUCGGCAGCCUGAAAUCGAUAAAAGGAAUGUAUCUCUUUUUCGGCAUCCCUUGCUGUAACGUCAGGGUGUGAAAUGGUUAUACGCCAAACAUUUACUAGAAUGACUUAGUAAUUUUUCUACCGUGCGAUUAGUCGGAGUUUUUAGUUGUGCAAGACGAUAUCUGUGCCACUGGCGAGUACAGUCCGGCACCGGCAGCCGAUUUUUGACAGUUCGGAAGUGAAAGUACUUUUUGCAUUUCGUGACAUUUAUUUUACAAGGUGUUUUUCUCAGGUAAUAGGUACCGUUUAUGUGUGAAUUUGUGAAACUGUUGUUUUUAUCGUAGGGACCGAAUAGUUAUCUCGCGAUCUGGCCAUUACUCUCUUGUUGUCGACGGUACAAUUGAACAAAUAAGGAAUAAAGUCUAAUAAUAAGAUAUUAGAGUGAAGUGUGUAGCCGUAGCUUGCCGUGCCUUAAACCGGUUCCAGAGCCUGGAGCCAGCAGGAGCGGAGUGGAGCGAAGCGAGGACAUUGCUGUAGCCGGCCUAGCCAAACACUUACACACGUGAUUGUGAAGUGCAGUGUCCUGUGCAUCAUCGGUUGUGUCUCAACCCGUCACGGAGCGCCUUAUCAACCCUUGUCUGUUGUCAAAGGAUGCUAGGAGGAGAGUGACGGCGCGUGCGGGCGGACCAUGGGCCACGUGUUCGUCCUGCUUCUAGUCGGAGUGAGCAUAGCCUCCGCCGAGCAAGUGGUUCUGCUGGAUACGGCUACAGAGCCCACACUGGAGUGGACACGCUAUCCCUUCGGUCCGGCCGCUAACACGCCAGGGUGGGUCGAGGAGAGUUACACCAACUUCGAGAAGGGGAUCAACUGGCGCUCGUACGUGGUGUGUGACGUAGCCUAUAACAAUGUCAACAACUGGUUGUGGACGCCGUUUGUGGAGCGCGGCAUCGCCAACCGCAUCUACAUCGAGAUCAAGUUCACCAUCCGCGAUUGUUCACUGUUCCCCGGCAACGCACUCUCGUGCAAGGAGACCUUCUCGCUGCUCUACUACGAGUUCGACGCCGCAACUCGCGAGCCACCCCCCUGGGAACCGGAGAGCUACAAACUCAUCGGUCGCAUUGCUGCUGGGGAAGGCAGAUUCAACACAGCCAGCGACAACAUCAUCAACACGGAGACCAAGUCUAUCCCUGUCAACAAGAAGGGAGUGUAUUUUGCUUUCCGGGAUCAGGGUGCCUGCAUCUCUCUCCUGGCUAUCAAGGUUUACUACAUAACGUGUCCAGAGGUAACCAUCAACUUUGCCCACUUCCCCAUGACACCGACAGGCCGGGAGGUAACACUGAUAGAGCAGACAACUGGAACGUGUGUGGACAACGCAGAAGUAAUCGACACCCCGACCUAUCUGUGCAAGGGCGAUGGAAAAUGGUCCCUCCCCACUGGUGGUUGCAAGUGUAAGGCGGGCUUCGAACCCGACUUUGAAAAGCAGACCUGCAAUGUGUGUCCACCUGGCAAGUACAAACAUGCUACAGGAGACGAGCACUGCCAGCCCUGUCCCGCCCACAGCAAAGCAUCAGAUUACGGGCUGGCAGAAUGUCGCUGUAACUCUGGCUACUAUCGCUCACCCAAGGACCUCAAGAGCAUGGCUUGCACUCAACCCCCUUCAGCCCCCCAGAAUCUGACAGUGAAUUUUGUGGACCAGUCUACAGUUAUUCUGUCGUGGAACCCUCCCAGUUUUCUGGGUGGCCGUUCCGACACUGUGUUCCGAGUGGAGUGUGAUGCUUGUGGGCCAAGUGUAAUCUACUCCCCUAACUCGGAGAUAUUCAAUGACACCAAGAUCACCAUAUCCGGAUUGAGUCCUGUGACUACCUACCGGUUUCAAGUGUUCUCAGCAAAUGGUGUAAGUGACAUGACCAAUGAGGCUGGAGACUUUGUGGACAUCACUGUGACUACAGAAGCAUCAGUCAUGUCUGCGUCCGUCAACAACGUGCGCGUUACAUCCGUCAAGGCUGCCGAGAUCACACUUACCUGGGACCCACCCUUCACACCAGAAGCGGACAUGGACUCUCCCGACCAUGUUGAGAUAUAUGAGGUCCGAUACUUUUCUCGUCAUGAUGAAAUCAACGCAACAAGCAAGAUGACAAAAGUAAACCAAAUAGUUAUCAACUCUCUUCGUCAGAGAACUGAGUACGGAUUCCAGGUUCGGGCCAAGACAACUCACGGCUGGGGUGACUUUAGUCAGACUGUCUUCAAGACAACAGGCCAAGUUCUGGGAACAGCUUAUAUAGGAGAUGAGGACAAUAUGCAAGUAAGAAUAAUUGCUGGAGCUACUGUGGCUGUCGUCGUUCUUCUAGUCAUCAUCAUCAUCAUGACGGUUCUAUUCUUAAGAAGCCGAACCAAUGACGAGUGCAACAAAAAACAGCCAAGUGACUGUGAUACCCUGGAGUAUCGGAACGGAGAAGUGCACUGCAGCCUGGAUAACCCACCCAUUGUUACCACCCAUACCAACAGCAUGACUACGCCUCUGUUCACACAAGUGGGGGCGGCCAACUCCCGCACGUACAUCGACCCUCACACAUACGAGGAUCCCAACCAAGCGGUGCGUGAGUUCGCACGGGAGAUAGAUGCCUCUUACAUCACCAUCGAAGCUAUCAUAGGGGGAGGGGAGUUUGGCGACGUUUGUCGAGGAAAGUUGAAGUUGCCCCCCGAUGGCCGGACGGAGAUUGAUGUUGCUAUCAAGACUCUGAAGCCAGGUUCAGCGGACAAGGCUCGCAAUGACUUCCUCACCGAGGCUUCCAUUAUGGGCCAGUUUGAACACCCCAAUGUGAUCUUCCUGCAGGGAGUUGUCACCAAGAGUAAUCCUGUCAUGAUCAUUACAGAGUAUAUGGAGAAUGGCUCUUUAGACACGUUCCUUAGGGCAAAUGACGGCAAGUUCCAAGUGCUGCAGCUAGUGGGCAUGCUGCGAGGGAUCGCGUCCGGAAUGCAGUAUCUGUCUGAGAUGAACUAUGUUCACCGAGAUUUGGCUGCACGUAAUGUCCUGGUCAACGCACAGCUAGUCUGCAAAAUUGCCGAUUUUGGACUGAGUAGAGAGAUAGAGAGUACAACAGAAGGGGCCUACACAACAAGGGGAGGGAAAAUCCCUGUGAGAUGGACGGCGCCUGAAGCAAUUGCUUUCCGGAAGUUCACUUCAGCCUCAGACGUUUGGUCGUUUGGAAUAGUAUGCUGGGAGGUCAUGUCGUAUGGUGAGCGACCAUACUGGAAUUGGAGUAACCAAGAUGUCAUCAAAUCUAUUGAGAAGGGUUACAGGUUACCAGCACCAAUGGACUGUCCGGAGGCUAUUUAUCAGCUGAUGCUGGACAGCUGGCAGAAGGAGCGCACGCACCGGCCGAGCUUUGCGUCAAUAGUCAAGACCCUGGACAAGCUCAUCAGGUGUCCGGAUACCCUUCGCAAGAUCGCCCAGAACAGACGCCCACCUGCACAUAAUCCUUAUUACGUCCCUGUGACGUUUAGAGCUCCUCAGUGGGUUUCAUUCCAUCACGAGUAACUCCUCGGUGCUGGAUUAGUUUUUAACACAAACUCACUCUUUCUGUCAAGGACGGCUAACCCAUUAGCGCCUGAUGCGCCAGACAUGACCCAGUUCACAUCCGUCAGUGAUUGGCUCAGUUCCAUCAAGAUGACCAGGUACCUGGAGAACUUUGAGCGAGCCGGGAUCACUAGCAUGGAGG
RNAcentral lists this unclassified non-coding RNA (3892 nucleotides) under Homalodisca vitripennis (glassy-winged sharpshooter). Its description in RNAcentral is "ephrin type-B receptor 1-B, transcript variant X2". The record is from RNAcentral. Lineage: Eukaryota; Metazoa; Arthropoda; Insecta; Hemiptera; Cicadellidae.